This 253-nucleotide ribosomal RNA is filed under the name uncultured bacterium. RNAcentral describes it as "partial 16S ribosomal RNA". It matches the Rfam family "Bacterial small subunit ribosomal RNA", at positions 524 to 776 of the family's 1533-position model. The record is from RNAcentral.
UACGUAGGGGGCAAGCGUUGUCCGGAUUUACUGGGCGUAAAGCGUGCGCAGGCGGUUGUGCAAGACAGAUGUGAAAUCCCCGGGCUCAACCUAGGAACUGCAUUUGUGACUGCACGGCUGGAGUGCGGCAGAGGGGGAUGGAAUUCCGCGUGUAGCAGUGAAAUGCGUAGAUAUGCGGAGGAACACCGAUGGCGAAGGCAAUCCCCUGGGCCUGCACUGACGCUCAUGCACGAAAGCGUGGGGAGCAAACAGG